CUGAAUCCAUAUAUAUAUACACACACAUAUGAGGAUCCCUAUGUCAUACACCGUAAGUGACAAAUAAUUAAUUCACACAUAUUAAAAGUGGUAUAAAAUUAAAUGUCCUAAAUUUAAAUGGUAUGUUUUGGAAUAAGAUAAUCUGAACAGGCCGAAGUUACUCGGCGGUGCCGCGGCGAACUGACGCUCCUCUCCUCCCGGCGACGGCGGAGCCCUCUCGAUCUGCUCAUCCCUACUCGAUCUCCGCGCCGCCGUCUCCCACCUUCCCCUCUCUCUCCUCCCCGCCCUUCCCACGCUCCACCACGCGCCCGCCCUGGCGCUCGAGCCGGCGAAGCCUACGCCGUCGGCUGCCGCCCUCUCCACCACCUCCAUGUCGGCCGUGGCCCGGUGGCGCGGCGCAAAUGCAGCUAGCCGCAGCGCGCUGCUUCGACGGGAGAGGGCCGGCGGAGGGCGCCGAUGCCGGCGAGGCUACCAAGAGGAAGGGCUGAGGCCGAUGGGAGCGGAGAUCGAUCGAGCCUCUUAUUUAAGCAGAAGGAAUGUGUUCCGUACCUCAUUGUCGAUGCGCCAUGGACGCCAGGAUGUUUCUACAGGUAGCCCAAGAAUAUCUAGUGCAUAUUGUGUUGACGUGACCGAACAAACUGCAUCCAUAUCACCACUGGCAUGCAAGGGUAGAGUUGAAAUUAAGGGGUAAUAACUAAUAUGUGUUUUAAGUCAAUAGCUUAGAAACAUAGAUAUAUACCUGUACAGCCAUAUCCUUGUGCCACUUGAAAUUAGUGUCUUGAUUGAUGGCAGCAUUGUCUCUGGUGAGUCUUUCCAGUUAUCAAAUAUAAGUCCACUGCUUGAGGGGAAUAUUUAAAUUUGUUAGAAGCUUCAAAUGUUGACUUUUACUUGAUACACAUCUAGUAAGAGGCAGCUUGGGAGUC
Long non-coding RNA from Oryza sativa Japonica Group (Japanese rice), 923 nucleotides. RefSeq lists it as uncharacterized. Lineage: Eukaryota; Viridiplantae; Streptophyta; Magnoliopsida; Poales; Poaceae. The record is from RefSeq and is a predicted model, not a curated record.